CCUACGGGUGGCUGCAGUGGGGAAUAUUGGACAAUGGGCGAAAGCCUGAUCCAGCCAUGCCGCGUGUGUGAAGAAGGCCUUCGGGUUGUAAAGCACUUUCAGUGGGGAAGAAAGCCUUGGGGCUAAUACCCUCGAGGAAGGACAUCACCCACAGAAGAAGCACCGGCUAACUCCGUGCCAGCAGCCGCGGUAAUACGGAGGGUGCGGGCGUUAAUCGGAAUUACUGGGCGUAAAGCGCGCGUAGGCGGUCUGAUAAGCCGGUUGUGAAAGCCCCGGGCUCAACCUGGGAACGGCAUCCGGAACUGUCAGGCUAGAGUGCAGGAGAGGAAGGUAGAAUUCCCGGUGUAGCGGUGAAAUGCGUAGAGAUCGGGAGGAAUACCAGUGGCGAAGGCGGUCUUCUGGACUGACACUGACGCUGAGGUGCGAAAGCGUGGGUAGCAAACAGGAUUAGAUACCCCGGUAGUC
RNAcentral lists this ribosomal RNA (465 nucleotides) under Vreelandella stevensii. Its description in RNAcentral is "partial 16S ribosomal RNA". It matches the Rfam family "Bacterial small subunit ribosomal RNA", at positions 338 to 795 of the family's 1533-position model. The record is from RNAcentral. Lineage: Bacteria; Pseudomonadati; Pseudomonadota; Gammaproteobacteria; Oceanospirillales; Halomonadaceae.